AAGUCGUAACAAGGUUUCCGUAGGUGAACCUGCGGAAGGAUCAUUCUUGUAUCUACACCACCACUUUUAGUGGCAAACUUUGUGAACUGUACACUCACUUGUGCGCAUCACUGCUGUCGAUGUUGCUGAGACGAGUGGGCCGACUUGGCGAAAGGCGAUACCUCCGACUGGAAGCAUGCGCGUCGUCCUUUUUUGGUUCACAACAUCUUGGCACUUCGACGGACGUGAUGUUGCGCUAACCUCCGCGUACCACACUAAUCUUUAAACUUACUUUUAUAAUUAAAUUUAAUACAACUUUCAGCAACGGAUCUCUUGGCUCUC
This 321-nucleotide unclassified non-coding RNA is filed under the name fungal sp. RNAcentral's name for it is "partial internal transcribed spacer region". The stretch from base 1 to 46 matches the Rfam family "Eukaryotic small subunit ribosomal RNA", at positions 1786 to 1831 of the family's 1831-position model. The record is from RNAcentral. Lineage: Eukaryota; Fungi.